UUUUUGGGGAAUUUUCUCCGCAAUGGGCGAAAGCCUGACGGAGCAAUACCGCGUGAGGGAGGAAGGCUCUUGGGUUGUAAACCUCUUUUCUCAAGGAAUAAGAAAGUGAAGGUACUUGAGGAAUAAGCAUCGGCUAACUCCGUGCCAGCAGCCGCGGUAAUACGGAGGAUGCAAGCGUUAUCCGGAAUGAUUGGGCGUAAAGGGUCCGCAGGUGGCCCUGUAAGUCUGCUGUUAAAGAGUGAGGCUUAACCUCAUAAAAGCAGUGGAAACUACAGAGCUAGAGUGCGUUCGGGGUAGCAGGAAUUCCUGGUGUAGCGGUGAAAUGCGUAGAGAUCAGGAAGAACACCGGUGGCGAAAGCGUGCUACUAGGCCGUAACUGACACUGAGGGACGAAAGCUAGGGGAGCGAAUGGGAUUAGAUACCCCAGUAGUCCUAGCCGUAAACGAUGGAUACUAGGCGUGGCUUGUAUCGACCCGAGCCGUGCCGGAGCUAACGCGUUAAGUAUCCCGCCUGGGGAGUACGCACGCAAGUGUGAAACUCAAAGGAAUUGACGGGGGCCCGCACAAGCGGUGGAGUAUGUGGUUUAAUUCGAUGCAACGCGAAGAACCUUACCAAGACUUGACAUGUCGCGAAUCCUUCUGAAAGGAAGGAGUGCCUUAGGGAGCGCGAACACAGGUGGUGCAUGGCUGUCGUCAGCUCGGUCGAGAAUGCC
This 712-nucleotide ribosomal RNA is filed under the name Nostoc sp. RIL 101086. Its description in RNAcentral is "bacterial SSU rRNA". It matches the Rfam family "Bacterial small subunit ribosomal RNA", at positions 351 to 1076 of the family's 1533-position model. The record is from RNAcentral. Lineage: Bacteria; Bacillati; Cyanobacteriota; Cyanophyceae; Nostocales; Nostocaceae.